This 96-nucleotide microRNA precursor is filed under the name Nicotiana sylvestris (wood tobacco). RNAcentral's name for it is "MIR6152 microRNA precursor family". It matches the Rfam family "MIR6152 microRNA precursor family". The record is from Rfam by way of RNAcentral. Lineage: Eukaryota; Viridiplantae; Streptophyta; Magnoliopsida; Solanales; Solanaceae. RNAcentral also lists the same sequence under 1 other name.
UGGACAGAUUGUUGUAUUCGACUGUAUUCACGGCGUGAAACAUGAGAUUACACUAUUUUUAAACGGAAAGUGAAUCAAUUAACAUAAUAUACUCCU